UAAAAGUUUAGGGGGAAAAUAAAAAGUUUUGAAGAAUAAAAGUUUAAGGGAAAGUAAAUAGGGGGAGUAAAAUUUUGGAGAGAAAAUAUUAAAAAAAAAAUGGAGGGGGGAGGGUUUGGGGUAGAUGGGAGGUGAGAUGGGAAGGGAAUAAAAGUUUUAGGGGAAAAGUAGGAGGGAGUAAAAAUUUUGGGGAAAAAUAAAAGGUUUUGAGGGUUUUGGGGAGUAAAUUUUUGAGAAAAAGUAAAUGGGAGAGUAAAAUUUUGGUGGGAAAUGAAUUUUGGGUAGAUUGGGGGGUUGGGAGGGGAGGGGAGUAAAAGUUUUGGGGGAAAAGUGGGAAGGAGUAAAAGUUUUAAG
Molecule: long non-coding RNA, 354 nt
Filed under: Gossypium raimondii (Peruvian cotton)
Lineage: Eukaryota; Viridiplantae; Streptophyta; Magnoliopsida; Malvales; Malvaceae
Description: long non-coding RNA (GRAI_LNC009058)
Source: RNAcentral